Molecule: long non-coding RNA, 3626 nt
Organism: Dasypus novemcinctus (nine-banded armadillo)
Lineage: Eukaryota; Metazoa; Chordata; Mammalia; Cingulata; Dasypodidae
Source: Ensembl
GCUAAAUAUGGAUUGAUUUAUCCAUAUAAAACAAAACUUGGGGGUUGUCAAUAAUAUUUAAUAACAUAAAGAGAUCAAAAAGUCUGAGAAGUGUUGUUCUAGAUAAUAAGCUUCUUGGGACAUAUCUGUGACUUACAGUAUUUUUGUGUGUUUCCCUUUUUCACCCUGUCCCUUUCUGCAAUACCCUGUAUAAAUACUGAGUAGAACUUUAGCAUUCAAUAUAUAAAUUUUUGUAAAAUUGAAUUAAAUUUUUUAUCGUGAUUUUGAUCUUCAUUCAAAUUAAUACAGUGUUUCUUUAACCAGGAUAUUCUGUGCCAGAAAUUAGAAGAACUGACACGACAAAAUGACAAAAAUUCCUGGAGCUUCGAUUUUACUCAGAAGUUUGGAAUAAGAAAAACAAAUCAUUAUUCACAUGUUCAUUCUUCUCUGCUUAAAGUAGCAAUCUAGUGGAAAAGUUUCAAAAGCACCACCUUAAUAUAAAGAAGAAAAUAACUUUUCCCACACUUAAUAACAAAGUGUUAGAUGCUAACCAAAAGUGAGAGAAAUGGAAGCACUCUGGUGAUCUGCUUAAGAACUUGCCCUGGGGAGCUGCUGUCCUUCAGCUUAUGCUCCUCAAUAAGCACAUACGGAGCAGACCUGAACCCAGCCUACAGCCUGGAACCAAGCCCAGAUGACCCACUGUUAGGAGCAGAGAUAUUCAGCCAAACCCUUCUUAGGCCAGCUAAACCAUGGUUAACCUGAAGACCUAUGAACAAGAAAAUUACAUGCUGUUGAAGCCACUGAGUUUGGGGGUGAUUUGUUACACAUCAUUAUUGUAGCAAAGGCUCACUGAUACAGAUGGGCAGCCCAGUGUAAUGUGAUUAAGAAUACAGACUAUGAGACCAAACUCAAAGUCACAGAGAUGUCAAAUCUCUACCAUUUAUUAACUGUUUCUUUGGACACAUUUUUCAAACCAUGCCUCAGUUUUUUCAUUUAUAAAAUGGGAUGAUACCUAUUUAAUAUAGUCAAUAUUUAUAAAGUGCUUCAAACAGUGCCAGGCACAUAGUCACCCCCAUAGUAGUGUAUGUUGGAUAAAUAAAAUAAACCUUAUUAAUCCAUGAGUGUCAGCCAAAGACCUCAAUCAAGAACAUGAUUAUUCUGUAUUGUUUGCAUCUACAAGAGGAUGCUUCAUUCUCUAAAGAAAUUCUUCCCUAUAAUCAGGAGUCAGGGUAAGAUAAGAGUUCCAUCUGUUGAAGCCUUCCUUCUGAUAAGUCCAGCUACAUGGAUUUUAAUUCUGGGUCCACCAUCUGAGAGCUUGGGCCCUGGGCUAGACACUGACUCUCAAUUUUCUUAUCCGUAAAAUAGGGACUGCAAUAGUAAUUUAGCUCAGAGUAGUUGCCAGUAUUAUGUUAGAUCGUCUAAGAAAACAUUUUAGUACAAUGAAGCAUGCAUUAUAAACACUAAAAUUGUUAGUUAUUUUUAAUUUGGACAAACAAUUUUAGGAACUAUAAGAUAAUUUUUAGCCUGUCAAUACGUGGAUUGUAACUUCAAAGCAUUGUUUACCUGAAUUCACCAAAAAGUUACCUUCUCCGAUCUAUUUAAGCCGAAGCAGAUUUUUUGAAAGAGCACCUAACACCAACAACAGCAAAAAAUUUAUAUUUCUCUCCUCAACAACCACAAUUCUCUUUAGCUUUUAUUUUCAUGUUAUUCUGAUAUAUCAGCAUAAUACAAAUCAUGAAAAUCAUAAAAAUGAUUCUUGUUAUUGUGUCUAUGCUGUCUUCUCUUUUUAUUUGUAUGUAAAUAAUGUUGUCUCUGCUUUCUAUUUACUAACAAUAUUUCUAUUAUUAAUCAAAAAGAGCCCUCAGAUCACACUCAUUUCAAUAGCAAUUUAAUUUAAAAGGUAAGAGUUGUGGAUUAUGUGAAAUACUAAACCACAGUGAGUGUAUCUUUUACAUGAAAAUAACCUUAAUUUCCCUGCUUGACUGAGAAAAGAAAUAAAAAGAAUGAUUGCUAUAAAUCAGGAAAAAUUCAUAACUUGCUGGAGAUGUAACAGCUGUUGAUUUAAGGUUUGCAUCUUUGAUAACAUGAUGCUGCUGGGAAGAUAACAUCUUUUUGACAAAGCUAUGAACAUAAAAAUUACAAGGCUUUAUUCAACAUUUAAAUAUUUUCUCUGUAUCAUGUAGAGAAAAAAUAUCUCAUUCACUUACACUAAAAUGUAUUUGAAGUAUACCAGAUCUGGUCAGCAAACUUUACAAUACAAUUUCAUGUUUUCUUGUUACAUAGGUAUAUAGCAGACGUGUCACAUCAUAAAGAAAAAUAAAUUAUACUCAGUUUAGAGAAAUGGUCUACUAUUAUUAUGUACAAGUAGUUCCCAUCGUUGGUAACACAAACACAGAACUGAACAUACACUCGGGAUAUUAUUCAUUUCUUCCAUUAUCAGCUAGAAUUAGGUGAUUGAAAAAUUAGGUGACAAAACAAAGCAAGUAUUGUACUGUCUGGGAGAAAAUAUCACCAAAGCGGAAUCUUAAAGAGAUGUGAAAGAGAAAAACUUUGCCAAGCAGUUAGAAGCAAUAGCAGUAUUUUUAUUUAUCUAAAGGCCACUGUGCUAUUGUACAAGUUCUUGCACUGUUAACUCACAAGCUAUGAAGCUUUGUUUCUUAUAUAUUAGUGAAACACACUGGGAGCAUCAUCAAGGAAGUACUUAGAAUGACACUUGUAUUGACCUUCCAAGUGUCCUCACUCUUAAAAUAAACUCAUUGUGCUACCUUUCUUCUAUGAAUUGCAUUUAUCUUAGAAACACAGAUAUGCUUAUUAUAAAUAUUCUUUUAAUAACCCUGUCUUUUAUCUAAGAUAUUCUUGCAAUGUCAUUGUAACCCAUACAUACUCCAUACCCUCUAAACACCUACAGUCACUAUUCCUUCUAAUAGUCAAAUAAAAUUAUUCAAAUCCCCGUGCCACAUGCUCUGGGAAAUUCAAACUCAGAGUUGCCCACAAUUCUUCGGGAUACCAGUCACUCUGUAAUUUUACUUUGCUUUCUUGCUCUUGCCUAAUUCUUGAUCCCUACCAGUAGUUUAUCCUCCUGGAGCCACAGCCUUCUCCCUGUACAUUUCAUACCAAGUUGGACACUAUUCCUUGUUUGUUGUACAAAGCAUCAUUUCCCAAGGUUGUGUGUACAAAAGAGUAUUAGUGAAGGUUUGCAGAAAUAGGCAAUAGCUUUAAAUUGAAUGUUGGACAUCCCUGCUCAUUCAUUUAUUCACUCAUUCAACAAAUUUCUAUCGAGCACCUCCCAUGUCCAGGUACUGUUCAAGACCAGUGAGAAAAAUAGAAGAAAAAAAAGAUCUUCUUUGACAGAGCUCGCUGUCUAGUGAUGUGACACAGAAAAGAAACAAAAUUAAUGAAUAAGGUAUAUAAGUUAGAAAGUGUUAAAUGCAAUAAAUAAAAAUAAAGCAGGGAAGGUGGCAGGGGAGGCAGGAUGCUUCCUUAGGAAAGUAAACUUUGUAAAUAUUACGUAAUUUAUCCCAUUUACCUCCACAAAUUUUGAGCAUCACUAUGCACAUACGGUUGUGAUAACUGUAUAAUUUGAAUGGAAAAAAAGAAAGUAAAUAUAUGCUAGAAUCAGCAAAAGCCUGAUCUCAAAUAUUGCAGGC